This 99-nucleotide long non-coding RNA is filed under the name Neogale vison (American mink). RNAcentral's name for it is "Neovison vison (American mink) MEST intronic transcript 1, antisense RNA conserved region 3 (ENSNVIG00000022831.1)". It matches the Rfam family "MEST intronic transcript 1, antisense RNA conserved region 3". Lineage: Eukaryota; Metazoa; Chordata; Mammalia; Carnivora; Mustelidae. The record is from RNAcentral.
UGUGUCCACUCGUUCUAAGGCUCUCAGAAUAAGAUCCUUUGUAAGUGCCCAGUCGAUUAAAUAUCAAACUGCCUUUAUCUUGGGUGCUGGUAUUCCUGG